This 16-nucleotide ribosomal RNA is filed under the name Gymnema sylvestre. RNAcentral's name for it is "partial large subunit ribosomal RNA". Lineage: Eukaryota; Viridiplantae; Streptophyta; Magnoliopsida; Gentianales; Apocynaceae. RNAcentral also lists the same sequence under 77 other names. The record is from RNAcentral.
CGACCCCAGGUCAGGC